CCGCCGCCGCCCGCAGGAGCCGCCGCCGCCUAUUGUUCAUGCGCCUCCGCAGAGCUGGGAGGACCCCCCCCCAACGACGGCGGCCGCAGAUCCCUUUUACAGUUGGAUUCUCCCUCUUGGAUCUGGCUCUGCCUUAGUCCGACCUAGAGGGAUCAGCUUCGCCCACGCCCACUCUCACCCGGAACCUUUCAUCUCUUAUUGAAGCCUUUUAGGCCCAUUGGGAUGUUCAUUAGAACUCUGAAAACUACAGUUCUCCCCUUUAUGAGGACUGCACCACAGCUCGCCCUCUCCUGGGUUCCGGUAAGAAGAGAUUCCAAUACCACUCUUUUUUCAGAAUUCAGAAAGGCAAGAGACCACCUUACUGAGCUUCAAACUGGGGCUGGGAACGCUGCCAUGAAUUGGGCUUGGUCUGUCUGAAGGGAGCCACCUUUUCGACAAUCCUUAGACUUCUUUUGCCUGUUGGAAUUACACCUUGGAUCGUGGCGAAGUCUAUAGAGGUCAGAUUAAGAAGAACCAAAGCAGAAUAAACGUAGAACCCGAUGCUGAGUUCACGAGUGAGGACGACCUCUUCCUAUAUGCUUUGCUAUACCCUGCGUUUUGAACAUUAAGGACGAGAUAGGAGGCCCAUAAUGUUUCUUCUUGCUUUAAUCCUGUCGUGGCAACGUUGACUUCCAGUAAGAAAGCCUGGUUGCAGAGUGAGCCCAUGGGACAGCCCUCUGAAAUUAUACUGCUUACAACCAUGCUGAGUCUGCAAGGACUUCGUCCAAGCCUUUCCGUCCAGGACCUCAAACAGAUCCAAUCACAAGAAGAGAGAUUUCAGGAAAGAGAAAAUUAUUCCUAUCAUCGGGGUUUUUGAAGAACAUGAAAUGACUGGGAAAAUAAUCAUGUUAAGUGGAAAAAAAAAAGAAAUCUAUCUGUUGUAAUUUUCAAAUAAUUUUUAAAUAAAUUUGAAAAAUUAAGAGAACUAUAUAUAUAAUACAUUCCUAAUCUUGUGAAAAAUAUAUAUGCAUUAAUAUUAUUGAAAGAAAUAUAUCAAAAGGUGAACAGCAAUUAUCACCAAUCUAGAUUAUGAGAUUAGGAGUGAUUUUUUUUCUUUGUCCUAUACUAUUUAAUAUUUUCUACCAUUAAAAUAUUCUGAUUUUCUAAUUAGAAUAGUACGUUAGACAAAGAAGGACAAAUAUCACAUGAACUCUCACUCUCUUAUGGAACAGAUCUUGUGGAAUCUAAAAAAGUUGAACUCAUAGAAAAAGAGGAAAAUGAUGGUUACCAGUUAGAAAAAAGGAAUAAGUUCAAGAGAUCUAUUGUACACCAUGGUCAAUAUAGUUAACAAUAUAUUUUAUACUUUAAAAUUGCUAAGGUAGUAGAUUUUAAGUGUUCUCACCACACAAAAAAAUAAGUAUGUGAAAAGCAUAUGGUAAUUAGCUUGAUUUAACCACGCCACAGUGCAUACAUAUGUCAAAACAUCAUGUUGUAUACUAUAAAUAUAUACACUUUUUGUCAAUUUUAAACAGGUUAUAAAAAAACAUGUUAUUGUUGAUAAUUAUGAAAAAUUUUAAUGAUGUGGAAAUGUGUACAGUAUAAUGAUAAAUGAAAGAGUAGUAAAAAUCCUUAUAAAAUAUAA
This 1621-nucleotide long non-coding RNA is filed under the name Homo sapiens (human). RNAcentral describes it as "HSALNT0377792". The record is from RNAcentral. Lineage: Eukaryota; Metazoa; Chordata; Mammalia; Primates; Hominidae.